This 460-nucleotide ribosomal RNA is filed under the name uncultured Duganella clone MTseq15. Its description in RNAcentral is "bacterial SSU rRNA". It matches the Rfam family "Bacterial small subunit ribosomal RNA", at positions 1035 to 1501 of the family's 1533-position model. Lineage: Bacteria; Pseudomonadati; Pseudomonadota; Betaproteobacteria; Burkholderiales; Oxalobacteraceae. The record is from RNAcentral.
AAGGUGCUGCAUGGCUGUCGUCAGCUCGUGUCGUGAGAUGUUGGGUUAAGUCCCGCAACGAGCGCAACCCUUUUCAUUAGUUGCUACGAAAGGGCACUCUAAUGAGACUGCCGGUGACAAACCGGAGGAAGGUGGGGAUGACGUCAAGUCCUCAUGGCCCUUAUGGGUAGGGCUUCACACGUCAUACAAUGGUACAUACAGAGCGCCGCCGACCCGCGAGGGGGAGCUAAUCGCAGAAAGUGUAUCGUAGUCCGGAUUGUAGUCUGCAACUCGACUGCAUGAAGUUGGAAUCGCUAGUAAUCGCGGAUCAGCAUGUCGCGGUGAAUACGUUCCCGGGUCUUGUACACACCGCCCGUCGCACCAUGGGAGCGGGUUUUACCAGAAGUAGGUAGCUUAACCGCAAGGAGGGCGCUUACCACGGUAGGAUUCGUGACUGGGGUGAAGUCGUAACAAGGUAACC